UAAUACCGCAUACGAUCUACGGAUGAAAGCGGGGGAUCGAAAGACCUCGCGCUAUAGGGGCGGCCGAUGGCGGAUUAGCUAGUUGGUGGGGUAAAGGCCUACCAAGGCGACGAUCCGUAGCUGGUCUGAGAGGACGAUCAGCCACACUGGGACUGAGACACGGCCCAGACUCCUACGGGAGGCAGCAGUGGGGAAUUUUGGACAAUGGGGGAAACCCUGAUCCAGCAAUGCCGCGUGUGUGAAGAAGGCCUUCGGGUUGUAAAGCACUUUUGUUCGGGAAGAAAACGUUCGAGCUAAUAUCUUGAGCGGAUGACGGUACCGGAAGAAUAAGCACCGGCUAACUACGUGCCAGCAGCCGCGGUAAUACGUAGGGUGCGAGCGUUAAUCGGAAUUACUGGGCGUAAAGNGUGCGCAGGCGGUUUGUUAAGACGGAUGUGAAAUCCCCGGGCUCAACCUGGGAACUGCAUUCGUGACUG
Molecule: ribosomal RNA, 476 nt
Filed under: uncultured Burkholderia sp.
Lineage: Bacteria; Pseudomonadati; Pseudomonadota; Betaproteobacteria; Burkholderiales; Burkholderiaceae
Description: bacterial SSU rRNA
Rfam family: Bacterial small subunit ribosomal RNA
Source: RNAcentral